AUCUUUUCACUAACUUCAUUUUGUAUACAUGUAUACAAGCUUAAUUGAUGAUAUAUGUUAUAGAACAAAACAAUAUAAUUUAAUAACAUAUAUGUUAGUGCUUUAAGUUAGAGAAGUGUUCAGAUCCAAACAUUGGCAGCUAGUUGCAAAAGUGUCUACGAUUUUUUAAUUAGUUGGGGAAAGCACCUGAUUUUAGAAGGACUUUCCUAAUGAAUAAAGACCAGACAUUUAAAUGCAGGUAUUUUGAACCUUUGAAAUAAACAAUAUUUGCAUAUAGCCAUUCUCAAACUUUAGUGUGUGUCAGCAUCAACUGGAGAGGUAAGAAAGCCAACAACGGCCCAGGUGCACUGAGGUCAACUAAGAAGAACUGAUCUAAACCAGUGACUUUUAACCCUAGCUUCAGAUUAAAAAUCACACUAGGAGCUUUAAAAAUUACCAAUACCAUCUGUGCAGCAAACCACCAUGCCACACGUUUACCUAUGUAACAAAUCUGCACAUCCUGCACAUGUAUCCCUGAACUUAACAUUAAAAUUGAAGAAAAAAAAUUGCCAAUACCUAGAUUGAACCCUCAGAUUCUUAUUUAAUUGAAAUGGCCUGAGCAUGGGAGAAUUUAUGAAUUCUCAUAAAUUCAGAAUCAAUAUAUAUAAUUUAGUUUGAUUUUAU
RNAcentral lists this long non-coding RNA (663 nucleotides) under Pan troglodytes (chimpanzee). RNAcentral's name for it is "long non-coding RNA NONPTRT002821". The record is from RNAcentral. Lineage: Eukaryota; Metazoa; Chordata; Mammalia; Primates; Hominidae.